RNAcentral lists this ribosomal RNA (402 nucleotides) under uncultured bacterium. RNAcentral's name for it is "bacterial SSU rRNA". It matches the Rfam family "Bacterial small subunit ribosomal RNA", at positions 975 to 1375 of the family's 1533-position model. The record is from RNAcentral.
CAACCCUUGACAUGGGACGUAUGGGCUCGAGAGAUCGGGUCCUUCAGUUCGGCUGGCGUCCACACAGGUGCUGCAUGGCUGUCGUCAGCUCGUGUCGUGAGAUGUUGGGUUAAGUCCCGCAACGAGCGCAACCCUCAUCUUCAGUUGCCAUCAUUUAGUUGGGCACUCUGAAGAAACUGCCGGUGACAAGCCGGAGGAAGGCGGGGAUGACGUCAAGUCCUCAUGGCCCUUACGGGUUGGGCCACACACGUGCUACAAUGGCGGUGACAAUGGGGUGCAAAGGCGCGAGCCCGAGCCGAUCUCAAAAAGCCGUCUCAGUUCGGAUUGCACUCUGCAACUCGGGUGCAUGAAGUUGGAAUCGCUAGUAAUCGCGUAUCAGCACGACGCGGUGAAUACGUUCCC